Molecule: ribosomal RNA, 513 nt
Filed under: uncultured bacterium
Lineage: Bacteria
Description: partial 16S ribosomal RNA
Rfam family: Bacterial small subunit ribosomal RNA
Source: RNAcentral
GAUGAACGCUGGCGGCGUGCCUAAUACAUGCAAGUCGAGCGAACAGACGAGGAGCUUGCUCCUCUGACGUUAGCGGCGGACGGGUGAGUAACACGUGGAUAACCUACCUAUAAGACUGGGAUAACUUCGGGAAACCGGAGCUAAUACCGGAUAAUAUAUUGAACCGCAUGGUUCAAUAGUGAAAGACGGUUUUGCUGUCACUUAUAGAUGGAUCCGCGCCGCAUUAGCUAGUUGGUAAGGUAACGGCUUACCAAGGCAACGAUGCGUAGCCGCCCUGCGAGGGUGAUCGGCCACACUGGAACUGAGGAACGGUCCAGACUCCUACGGGAGGCAGCAGUAGGGAAUCUUCCGCAAUGGGCGAAAGCCUGACGGAGCAACGACGCGUGAGUGAUGAAGGUCUUCGGAUCGUAAAACUCUGUUAUUAGGGAAGAACAAAUGUGUAAGUAACUAUGCACGUCUUGACGGUACCUAAUCAGAAAGCCACGGCUAACUACGUGCCAGCAGCCGCCGCAG